Vidua macroura (Pin-tailed whydah) is the source of this 786-nucleotide long non-coding RNA. RefSeq lists it as uncharacterized. The record is from RefSeq and is a predicted model, not a curated record. NCBI's taxonomy places the organism in Eukaryota, Metazoa, Chordata, Aves, Passeriformes, Viduidae. The transcript has 3 exons.
CCCCAAAAUCCUCAGCACAGGAGAAAGAGCUACAGAGAGAUAAUGGAGCAAGGCAGGUCCUGGAGCACUGGUUGUGCUGCCUGGUGUGUGCCAGAGGUGUCAGCUGCCUUAGAGCAGCACCUCAGCUACUUCUCCUGCCCUCUGAAGACUUGUGUGAAAAUGACCAAGAUACAAAGGGCCCGGGGUGCUCCUGGAAGAGGAAAAGCCUACUGGUGUUGCUUGAAUGAAGGGGCUGAGGACAGUGCCUGAGUGUCUGCAUUCAUGUCCUGGGAAAGCAGUUGGAAAUUGAUCCUGGUUUGGUCACCCACUGAUGAGCUAAUUUUUAACACCAACCAUGAACAUCUCACUGCUGGAAUUGCGGUGUGCCCGGUCCUCCUCAAGCAUGUGAGCGAGCAAAUCACUCCAGCAGCGUGGAUCGUUCUUCUGCACCCAUUGUUAUGGAAAUCGCCUUAGAGACUGUUGCUCCAGCAAACAUUUUUAGAAGCACGAGUGAGUUGCGCAACAGGAAAACUGCUCGGAGGUGAGGAAAACCCCCCUCCAGGCUCUCAGCGCUGCCCCUUCCUCCAGCACCGCAGUGGAGCCCUGCUGGCUCUCCUGGUGGGGACGGGAUUCAGGGUGUUCCUUUGCCUGUUUGCUCGUGCUCCUCAUCACUGCCUGCUGUGGAGCAGGACCAGCUCUCCAGCCUGUACCCAGGAGGUCCGAGCAGCCCCAGCUGAUGUAAAGGGAAAAGCACAGAUCCAGUGACCUUUGUUUGCCUCACUGCUGCCCACAGUGCCUGCCUGACAU